UCCCUGGUGGCCCAGAGGUUAAAGCGUCUGCCUCCAAUGCGGGAGACCUGGGUUCGAUUCCUGGGUUGGGAA
Molecule: transfer RNA, 72 nt
Filed under: Ovis aries (sheep)
Lineage: Eukaryota; Metazoa; Chordata; Mammalia; Artiodactyla; Bovidae
Rfam family: tRNA
About the family: Transfer RNA (tRNA) molecules are approximately 80 nucleotides in length. Their secondary structure includes four short double-helical elements and three loops (D, anti-codon, and T loops).
Source: Rfam by way of RNAcentral